AUUGAACGCUGGCGGAAUGCUUUACACAUGCAAGUCGAACGGCAGCACGGGGCAACCUGGUGGCGAGUGGCGAACGGGUGAGUAAUACAUCGGAACGUGCCCAAUCGUGGGGGAUAACGUAGCGAAAGUUACGCUAAUACCGCAUACGAUCUACGGAUGAAAGCGGGGGAUCGCAAGACCUCGCGCGAAUGGAGCGGCCGAUGUCAGAUUAGGUAGUUGGUGGGGUAAAGGCUCACCAAGCCAACGAUCUGUAGCUGGUCUGAGAGGACGACCAGCCACACUGGAACUGAGACACGGUCCAGACUCCUACGGGAGGCAGCAGGUGGGUAAUUUUGGACAAUGGGCGCAAGCCUGAUCCAGCCAUUCCGCGUGCAGGAUGAAGGCC
This 385-nucleotide ribosomal RNA is filed under the name uncultured bacterium. RNAcentral's name for it is "bacterial SSU rRNA". It matches the Rfam family "Bacterial small subunit ribosomal RNA", at positions 30 to 416 of the family's 1533-position model. The record is from RNAcentral.